CUACGGGACGCUCCAGUAAGGAAUAUUGCGCAAUGGAGGCAACUCUGACGCAGCCAUGCCGCGUGCAGGACUGAAGGCCUUAUGGGUCGUAAACUGCUUUUAUUUAGGAAUAAACUCUUGUACGUGUACGAGACUGAAGGUACUAAAUGAAUAAGCACCGGCUAACUCCGUGCCAGCAGCCGCGGUAAUACGGAGGGUGUAAGCGUUAUCCGGAUUUAUUGGGUUUAAAGGGUGCGCAGGCGGAUGAUUAAGUCAGAGGUGAAAUCCCGGAGCUCAACUUCGGAACUGCCUUUGAUACUGGUAGUCUUGAAUACGGUUGAAGUAGGCGGAAUGUAGCAUGUAGCGGUGAAAUGCAUAGAGAUGCUACAGAACACCGAUCGCGAAGGCAGCUUACUAAGCCGAUAUUGACGCUCAGGCACGAAAGCGUGGGGAGCGAACAGGAUUAGAUACCCCCGUAGUC
This 460-nucleotide ribosomal RNA is filed under the name uncultured bacterium. RNAcentral describes it as "partial 16S ribosomal RNA". It matches the Rfam family "Bacterial small subunit ribosomal RNA", at positions 339 to 795 of the family's 1533-position model. The record is from RNAcentral.